CGCGGCUCCCCUCUUUAGGUUGGCUCUUCGCGGGACGCCCCGAGACUUCUCGACCGCUUCCGAAAAGAACCGAAGGGAAAUGGCGUAUAGGAUAGACAACAUUACACAAAGUGCAGAAAGGAGCAAGAAAUCAUGUGACCGAGCAAUUAAAGUGAUUAGCCAAAUUCACCUUGAAAAUUCAAACAGGAGUUGAAGAAAAGAAACCUUUCCUGCUGUUAGUGUCUCAGCGCAACUCAGGAUCUGCGGUAUACUGCUUCUGAACAAGGAAGUUUCAUUUUAGCCAUCCUGAUUAUUUAACAACUGUCAUUGUCUUCUGGAUUUGACUAAUCCUUUGUGAAAGCUAUCUGAGGGUGCAUCAACACAUUUGUAACAGUGAAUUUGAAAUAAUAAAUAUACAUUGA
Python bivittatus (Burmese python) is the source of this 401-nucleotide long non-coding RNA. RefSeq lists it as uncharacterized. The record is from RefSeq and is a predicted model, not a curated record. Lineage: Eukaryota; Metazoa; Chordata; Lepidosauria; Squamata; Pythonidae.